Molecule: ribosomal RNA, 278 nt
Filed under: uncultured bacterium
Lineage: Bacteria
Description: partial 16S ribosomal RNA
Rfam family: Bacterial small subunit ribosomal RNA
Source: RNAcentral
UACGGAGGGUGCGAGCGUUGUUCGGAAUUAUUGGGCGUAAAGCGCGUGUAGGCGGUUUUUAUAAGUCUGAUGUGAAAGCCCCCGGGCGUCAACCUGGGAACGUGCGUUUGGUAACUACAAGACUAGAGUGUGUCAGAGGGGGGUGGGAAUUCCGCGUGUAGCAGUGAAAUAGCGUAGAGAUGCGGAGGAACACCGAUGGCGAAGGCGGCUGCCUGGACCGAUACUGACGCUGAGACGCGAAAGCGUGGGGAGCAAACAGGAUUAGAAACCCUAGUAGU